RNAcentral lists this small RNA (553 nucleotides) under Arabidopsis thaliana (thale cress). Its description in RNAcentral is "ATSL161540". Lineage: Eukaryota; Viridiplantae; Streptophyta; Magnoliopsida; Brassicales; Brassicaceae. The record is from RNAcentral.
GGUCCGAUCCAUAAACAGUAUGCCGUAUUCAUGCUUUGUUGCUCUGACUGAGUCAGUUGACUUACGAACCAAGAAAGAGGUGAUUGUCUUCCACUCAUUUUCAACGAAUCGGUCUUCGUAAAACGGAGCAAGGCGAUGAUCAAUUCUGAGGACACAAUUCUGAGACCAUAUGAAACCCCUCCAUCUCACGGAUAGCAAGAACAAGCGAAUCGAAAGACUAAAUUUUUUUUUGUGAAUGAUAUAACUGCCGGCACAAGAAAUGGGUUUAGAAUGAGGAUUGUGGAUAAAAUUAAGGAAGGGAGGAGACUUAAAUAGAGGAAAUCUGGAACGGCUACAGUUAUUAAUGCGGUUCCAACUACACUUGAUUCAAACUUUUGGUAAUAGCCUGGUAACCGUCAUAUAGGGUAAUUAUAACGUUGAUUUGACAAUAAACAGCAACAGUUACGUCCUUUCCAUUAAAUACCAACACAACCACAAUAUACCCAACAAUGUCUCCAACUCCGUUCAUUUAAGAGGGGGAAUAAGUUAGAUUUUCAAAAAACUUAUUUCAAAU